GCCACAGUGGUUCAGAGAGGGAUUUAAAGACUGUCACAGAAAGCAACUUCCAUACCUGUGCUUGGUGCACAGUCACAAAGACAGUUUUUCGGAUUAUAUAUAUCAUAAGAGCAUAAAAAGGAAUAUGAGCACAGAGAAGAAGAUGAAGUCUUGAUUCCAGGAGCUGACUUAAUUCCUUGCUACUACCACCAGUAAUCAAGCCAAAUAUUUUCCCGUGUAUAUUGAUGUAAACUGUUUGUUUUCCCUGCAGUGGCUGUUUAGAGAGGGGGAGCGUGUGGGACAGCCUUCUGGACCUGCAGAGUUGAUGGCCCAUGUUCUGCCCUUUGGAGAAAGCUGAGUUGCCUGUUGAUGUGCUCCCCUCCAUGGGCAAGCAGCGCCGUGUACAAGUUUUACAUCACAGAAUCCCAGAAUGUCAGGGGUUGGGAGGGCCCUGGAAAGCUCAUCCAGUGCAAUCCCCCCAUGGAGCAGGAACACCCAGAUGAGGUUACACAGGAAGGUGUCCAGGCGGGUUGGAAUGUCUGCACAGAAGGAGACUCCACAACCCCCUGGGCAGCCUGGGCCAGGCUCUGCCACCCUCACCAGGAACAAGUUUCUUCUUAAAUUUAAGUGGAACCUCCUGUGUUCCAGUUUGCACCCAUUGCCCCUUGUCCUGUCACUGGUUGUCACCCAGAAGAGCCUGGCUCCAUCCUCCUGACACUCCCCCUUUCCAUAUUGAUCCCCAUGAAUGAGUCCCCCCUCAGUCUCCUCUUGUCCAGCUCCAGAGCCCCAGCUCCCUCAGCCUUUCCUCACACGGGAGAUGCUCCACUCCCUUCAGCAUCUUGGUGGCUCUACAUGGGUCACUUUAAGUUGGUACGGACUCCUGGUUUACUGUGCAGCAACAAAAGCAGAGAAGACGCAGAAAUCUUGCUCAGCACGCUCUAGGGGAAUCUCCGUGUCAGGACUGCACGAGAGCGGCUGCGUUUGAGAUCCUGGUGUGAGGUGCUGAGGGAACAAGCUGCAGCGCUGGCACCAGAUGGGAUGGAAACUGGCUUCCCAUAACUCACUUCUGUUCUGCUGUGGAAGAUGGUUUACACAGAGCACUGAGGCUCUGCUUGCUUCAAUGGUGAGGCUGUAACAGCAAACUGGAUCAACAGACACGGUGUUUUUCGUUUGAGUAGCUCUGAUUUCAGAUUUCUAACUUGCCAAACCAGAGACCAAGAUCAAUAGUUACUGCUGGUGUAAGCAGAUGGAAAUCCGUUGGUCUGAAAAGGUUCAAGAUCCUUGGAAAUGAUCCCAGUACAAUCUUGGAACAACAGAACUCCUGCAUCACGCGCUUUGUUUAAAUCCAGCCCUCCCUCCCCACCCCCUAAAAAAAAGCAGUGGUCGUGCAGCCCUUCAAAUGGACAUAUUCUCAGAUCUGGGUCAGGAGAGGAUUUGGGGAUGACAAAGAUAAUAAUGCAAAAAUAAGGGGGUUCCCCUCUCUCCACACAGCUGCUCCCUUUGCAGAGCCAGCAGCUCAGCCCCACGGGGGCUUGUGUGGCGCCUUCCAGCCCCUGGGGUCCAGGUGUUGAAGAAGCGAGAGCAGCUCAAAGAUGGUGCCACCUCUGCCCAGCCUUUUUUCCACACCGGUGGAAGAGUGCAGAGCACUGAAAGAUUCCUGGAUGUCUCCUGCUUCCUCUGGCCAGCUGGCGAGUGCGGCAUUUCCCACUCCCCCGAGACCGCGCGCAUCCCUGCACCAGCACCGCCCCACGCCUGGGAUACCUGGGACAUCGGGCUGAACCGAAACACCAGGCAGUGGGAGCUCAGGCUGCUUGGGGAGCCCAGGGGUCGGCUGGGGCGUCUGACCGGCACCGGGCAGCCGGCGAUGGGUGUGUGGAGCGCGAUAGCGAGAGGGACGGUGAAUCAGAGCGGUGUGGGCUAGACCUGGGCAGAGCUGUGGGUAUGGACACAAGCGCACGGCAGAGACUAACACAGUAAUGAAGGUUUAGCACAAGGGAUUUUGACAGCAGGAAAGAUUUCUUGCCUUUAGAAUGGGGGAUGGUUAAACAGGGAGAAAUGGGUGGAGGACAAGCAAGUACAAAAAAGCCAAAAAGAACAGGGCAGGAGGGUGGGGUCUUUAAAUAGACAUUUGGAGCUAAGGAACAUCAGUACAUACCUGGUUACUCUGCAUCCAGGCAGAUUCCCAACGUUCCAGCCACUACAGAGUCUGCUCAGCGCUUGAUGUGAGGCUCGAAUCGCUCUAGACCAUGUUUACACCCUGAACAGUUUGGAUGUGAGACAAUUCCAGACUCAGACGUGAUACUCUGGCCCAACUCAAACAACAAUGUAAAUGUAGCUGUGAUUUACCUGGUGGCAGUGCAAGUUAUGAAAGUGUUGAAAGGCCUGUGCCAUGCAUUAAAAUACAUAACAGAGCUGUUGAAAUACUUGAUUUUCUUUUUCCUUAGAUCAUACGUUCCUAUAACCAGUGACAUUGAUGAGUAUUUCGGCACAUUAAGAGACUAUUAACUUUUGGCUUCAGCCAACUUAGCUAAGAAUUUGAGGGCUGCGGCAGCUCCAUAAAAAUUCUCUGCUCUCGGUUCGCUCCUCACAUGAACAGUAUCCCAAACUAAUUUCUCCCUCUGGCCUCAGCUGCAGCACUUUGGCACAGGAAAAGGGCACCCACUGCUGCUAAAGAACUCGCUGCUUUACAGAUGAAAACCGAACGUCUUGAAUUCCACCUGGAUCCUGCUGGCAGCGAACGCAGGGCCGCAGCAGUUACGUGAUGUUUUCUCACGGCGACGCGUGAUUCGGUAAGCAGGAUCCCGUGUUACCUUUUGCUCCCCGGUAGUUUCAAGGUGCAAUCCCACAAAGAAUGAAGUGCACAAAUCUAAUCUUGAGGUGACAAAAACAGAUGGUUGCAGCGAGAUCCCUGCAUAGGCAGGGGGUCCCAAGGCUUGUCUGCAGGACACUGCAGCUUGUGAAGCCUUUCGUGGUCACUCCAGGAGGAGUUCUCGGGUGUAUGUUAUAUCACAUUGCAGGUGGGUUUUGCUACCUGGGUUCCAUCCUGCUGUCCCACCCGAGCAGCCUUUCUUGGACAAAAGCCUGGGCUAGUGCCCUGCACUUAGGACAGUGUGUGUAUUUAGUAAUUACAAUUAAUAAUUUAGUAAACGUGUGCCUGCUUUACCCGUUUCAAAUGGUUCAGCAUGUUUGUACUUCCUGUUUUCUCAUAAUAAGCUGUCUACAAAAGCUGUAUCUUAAAUUUCAUUCCAGACCUUUAACAAACUGAGCUCAGUGAGAGAAAUAAACUGCCAGAGGAAGCAAUUAGCUUAAAUUUACCUGAAACCAAAAUCUUACCCAGUGGCAUGAACGAAUCCCGAGUGGUUCAUUCCUGGGAAGGAGUUUCAGCAAGUGGAGAUCAGGUUGCUUUUCAGCUUGGAUGCUCUCACUUUACAUCCCUUGUCAGACACCAGCUGUCACACUCUUUUCCUCAAGAAAGGCUCCAUCAGCCUAAACUUGGCCCAAGGCCCGCCCUGCGUUAAGAACAGUUCUAUGGAUAUAGAACUGGAUUUGGCUGAUAGAACAGACAUUUUGGGUGAUGCUUUGGAUUAUCUUUGGUAACUUCACAACACUGAAAGCUUGACUUGUUUACUGGCCCAGGCCUGAUGGCCAGUGACAGACCGGAGGAUCCUGCCCAGCAGAUUCCCUAGACGAGCUUUGCACCAGACGGGAGCGUCAGUCUGCAUGACCAGACAAGAGCUCUGGGCGUCAGGAUUUGAUCGAGCUGAUGGGCCGGGCAGUGAGAUGCGAGUCCUGAGCGACUGGGACUUUCCUUUGGAGUCUGUUUAACUGUGUUUGUGCAGAGGCAGAGAUUACAUAAAUGAGGGGGAGACGGGGUGACGUUAUUUAUAUUACAGGCUCAUCCUGUAUGUGUGAAGUGCUGGAUGCAAAUAGUGCGAUUUAGAACCCGGUGGUGCAUACGCUGAAAGCCGAGCGAGCCGGCCGGUCGCAGGGUCUGUCACUGUCCUGAGUGUCCCGCGACACUUCAGAUGCAGACAGCGCACCCUGGGUGGAGGAUUCAUCAAGGGAUGGUGGAAAAAAGACAACAGUGCUAGGAGAGCUGAUACUUAAAACCCAGUCUGAUUCUGGAAAACUAUUUCCCACCGUUACGAUGCGCCUGGGAUUUGGAAACCGCCGCACGCUAAAGCAUGCAGAUUGCAACCCUGAAGAGAUCAUGCAUGCUGCCACCAAGUGCUAAGGAACACGGGUGUUGUGUGUCCUUCCUGCCUGUUUUAACACUGCCACCCUGUAAGCCUGUGUACCACCAUGCAGUCUACGCAGAAAUGGCACGGGUUUGGUUAAUAACGCUUGGCAAGCAGCGUGGCCUGGGUAUCAACGUCAUGGUCUGAUCUCUAGGCAACAGCUUCUCCUCCGCCUCAUCCUGUUGCUCUUUCUGAAAUGGGAGGGAUAAAGAGUAUUAAUAAGAACCCAGGCAGGCUGUGAAGUCAGCACACCACUCGGGAAGAGGGUGCUGCUGUAUCUUCACUAAUAAAUCAGGAUCGUUAUCACACCAGGGGAGAGAAAGAACCCAGAGCAAAGGCAUCUGCUGUGAAUUAUGUCUCUGGGCCCACCAGAGCUCUCCAUCUUCCCCCAGCACUUGCUCAGCGCAGCCGUGCAGCCUGCCAGCAGCCAUUAAUCCCUCCGCUCCUGCCGGAAAGCUGAUACGGGGCCGAGGCAAAUAUUUCUUGUGUCUGACGGUUUGGGUUGUUUUUUUCUUUUUAAUACUCGCUGUAAUGAGCAAAGGGCCCAGAAGUGCUCGCAGUGCUUUCUGCAGGGUCUUUCCGCAGGGUCUACAGAUGUGUGCGCCAGCCAAAUACAGAAACCAGUGAAGCUGUUUCUUUGUUCAGGUUCGGUCGCCCCUUUUGGCUCCAAAUCCGUGUGCAUAUAUAAAGAGAGGAGCGUUGGCUGCCGAGCACAGGGACCUCACAACAGCACUCUGUCUCUGCAGAAUCCAUUUCCGACACAGUACGCUUCCUUCAGGGGAAUUUGGGGGGAAAUGCCAGUGGCAAAACUGAUUUCAUUAGUUGCUGAUUUCACCCAGGCUUGUGCUUUUCUAAGAGUAAUCCUGAUUUAUGCAGCUAAUCCUGUUUCAGGUGAUGUGUGGUACCAUAACACAGCAUGUCAGAGAAUAUUUUAUAGAUAUUUGCUCAGUAUUUAUGUCAGGUUUUCCCAGGGUUUACCAUGGUACAGUACUAGCACGUAUGUAAGAACUUGCAUUUUUCAGCUAGCAAAACCUUAUGGAUUUGUCUGAUAGUCUUUUGUUCCUCAGCAAAGAAGGUGGAACCUGAACCCUCAAUAACCAAGUGUGUGUGUUUUCAAAACAAAGGUGAGUCACAAGAAUAGACUUGAUGUACUUCUAUAAAAUGACCCAAGUAAUGCCAGCAAGGAUGUCUGUAGGAAGCUGCGUUAUUUGGGCGUGUGCAGUGCCGCUGCCCUCUAACAGAACGUGCUAUUUCAUGUCCUGCACGUUUUCAGCAUCCUCACUCUUCCACCACAUCCUUCUGCUGCUCAUCUGGAACCCAAAUACUAGAUUCCCAACACUCAUCGUGAGGCUGUAACAAAGGGGCUGGGUCUCCCUCAGUUGUUUGUUUGGAGCUGGAUCACUCGGUGUGGCAGCACAGGACAGGGGUAGACCUCAGCUGCUUUUCUCCUCCAUGGAGACUGACCAUGACAUGUUGGAGAGGUGGGCUUGUGCCAGCCUGGUGAAGUUCAGCAAGGCCAAGUGCAAGGUCCUGGGCAAUCCCAAGCACAGGCUGGGCGGAGAGUGGACUGAGAGCAGCCCUGAGGAGAAGGACUUGGGGGUUUUGGUUGAUGAGAAGUUCAAAAUGACCUGGCAAUGUGCACUUACAGCCCAGACACCACCUGUGUCCCAGGCUGUGUCACCAGCAGCAUGAGCAGCAGGUUUGGGGGGAUUCUGCCCCUCUGCCCCACUCUGGUGAGACCUCCCUGCAGUGCUGGUCCAGCUCUGGGCCCUCAGCACAGGACACACAUGGAGCUGCUGGAGAGGGGCCAGAGGAGCCACAGGAAUGAUCUGAGGCUGGAGCAGCUCUGCUGGGAGGACAGGCUGAGAGAGCUGGGGGGUUCAGCCUGCAAAAGGGAAGCUCCGGGAAGAUCUUAUUGUGGCCUUUCCAUACUUAAAAUGGGCUGAUAAGAAAAAUGGGGACAGACUUUAGCAGGGCAUGUUGUGACAGGACAAGGGGUGAUGGUUUUAAACUAAAGGAGGGAGAUUCAGGCUGGACACAAGGAAGAAAUUGUUGCCCCUGAGGGUGGUGAGAGCCUGGCCCAGGCUGGCCAGAGAGGUGGUGGAUGAACCAUCCCUGGAGACAUCCCAGGCCAGGCUGGACGGGGCUCUGAGCAACCUGAGCUGCUGAAGAUGUCCCUGCUCAUGGCAGGGGGGGCACUGGGGGAGUUUAAGGUCACUUCCAACCUAAACUAUUCCAUGAUUUAGAGUAAUUGUUUCCAAAUGAAUGUACCCAGCAGCUGGGCAGGGUCUUGAAGCUCUGGCUGUCACCGCUCUGCCUUGUGUGAAACGUGUUUUGAUGACUGGGAGCAGGCGAAAUGCAUGAAAUUCUCAUCCCCAGACUGUUGAUGUGCAGUGCCUCCUGCCAGUGCCCAUGAGAAGCUUGGAGAGAGCCGUGUGCUGGAUGUUUACCAAGUGCUGAGUGAUGCACAGCAGUGAAUCACACACAGAUUUCCUGUUCUUCCUAUCAGAAUUAUGGCAAGCCAUAAUAAGAUGGACCCAGAACAAAAAUAACUCCACCAGACUAUGGUAUAGUGAGCUAUUAGGGGACUCCCUAUUUAAUAACCAAAACUUAAACUGAAUUUACUCUUCCAAAAAAUUUUUAAGGGCAAUGCAUUACAGCAAGUGGUGUACUAAAUACAAAGUUUAUCUGUUUGCUAUAGAGAUGGAACUAACAGUAACAAAUGGUGACAGGUAACAUGAGAGGGGGUGGCUGAAUGGGUUUUUCUGAUUAACUCCUAAUGAACUGGAUACAAUAACAGCAGGAAUACGAUCUUUGAUGUCACCAGAAAUCCCUCCCAAAGGAGGUGUCCCAGCCUGGGUAACAAUCGUUGGUUAUUUCUCUUUCCUUGGGCUGGCACAGAGGACUAAACAAGCCAUGGGGAUAUUGUUAAUUGCUCCUGUUAAUUUCACUGUUUGUUUUGUUACCAGAUUGCCUGUGUGAAAAGAGUAUUUAUAAAUUCAAGAGACAACAAAAAGGUGAACUGUCUGUAGGAGUAAAAUCAAAUGGAUCCAACUCACAGCUGCCUCGGUCUCUCCAAACAAGAAAACCCCUGUUUGUGGUGGAGAAGGAGCAGGAGGAGGGUGCUACUCGCACUGCCAGUACUAGUGAUGAGGUAACACCGCACCGAGACACCUUUUCCUGCAGCACCUUUCUCUUCUGGUCCCUCCAAAAAGCUUCUGCUCCCGGUAUUAAUAAUAUUGAGCUGUAAGUCGUUCCAGUCAGCAGGUUCCAAUAUUAUUUGUACCCUCGGGGCAAAGAACCGUGACAACUGAUGUGUUCUGUGGUUUUACACUCUGGAAUUUGUUCUCGUGAGUCUGAGAGAACUCGCUGUGCCGCAGCAGAGACGUGGGGCUACAGCCCCGGCAGCACCGGCGUGGCGGCACACGGCAACACCGUGGUCUGCGGUAACACAACCAGCCCUACAACACCCUGCGUGGUGCUGAAACAUGGUUGUUUUCAUUAAAAAUCACUAAAUGCUGCUGUUAUGCACCUGAGUCCCGUUCUGACCGGCUGUGCAGAACAAGCAGCUCCUUUUUGUAGAGCAGGGUUUCAGCUUCAAAGAUGUUCCUGUCUGUACAGCUGCUGCCCGCGCUCUUUCCUCACUUAGGAAAAAACCCUGCCCAGAUCAACCGGCUUCCUCGCAGGGACUGACAGUUGCUGCUGUUUUCCCCAAGACAGGAACAUCAUAGCUGCACAUUUUUGUCAUUUGCUCUUCCUCCCCUCGGUAACAAGAAAUCUCUUUGUCGUGAACCGAUGAUGAGGACGUCCCGCACGCCAGCACCGUGCGAUGCCUGGAAGGGAGGGACCUCUGGCUGCCGCCCAGCGCAGUGUUCUGCUCUUCCCAGAUCCUGAUUUUCUGUUACAUACGGAGACGCUGGUGAUCCGUUAAUCACCAUAGGCAACAAUAAGCCAAAGCACAUUGAUCCCUAGUGAGAGAAACAGGAUUUCUCCCCUUUGGAGGUGGAGGUGAAAUGAAGAAAUAAAAUUAACCGCAGAGUCAAUUAUACCGUUAAGUGACAUUCUUUAUUUUAUCGGCGCUGGGGAACACUGGGAAUCAUCCUCCAUAAGUGCUCCAGAGACUGGAUGCUCUUGCGCUGUUUAUAUUCACAUAAUUACUACAUAUGCAUUACAACUUUUGAAAAUUUUGACAUAUAUCUAUACUAAGAAAUAAUUGAUUACAUUAGUUAUAAUUGUUUAAUUUCUUACUUACAAUACUUCUAUUAAUAGUUAAACAUAAACUAGGCAUUCUGCUUCUAAACAACGUAUCACUUAAUCUUCUGUCUCCCUCUUGUAAUGCAGAAGGAUCUAAAACUUGAAAAAUAUCCCCUUUUAUUGCAAGUGGUCAGAAAACAUUUAUCUCAUGUCACUUGGUCAACGAUGGGUACGUCUUUUGUAACUUAAUUGCAGUAUACUUUCAUUUGGCAGCUUCUCUUCAAUGGCAGCUUUUGAGAUAAAUCCAUGUCUUGCCGCUUCUCCUUUUGGUCGUUCACAACUUGCUCUUUAACUUCAGCCACCGUAGUUCAUGUUUAAAAGUGUGUUAUACACACGCUGAUCCCAGAGUUCUCUCAGUCCUUCACGACCUAGAAGAGGGACAGCACUUCAUCUUCCCUCUGUUUCCAUCCCGUUGCUUUUUGAUCUUUCUCUUAGAUUCCUUCUGUACACGAGCGCUCGCUUCAGAGAAAACUACUAAAAUGAACCCAACUGUACCGUGGUGUUGUCAUUAUCACAUAAAAGAACGAAUCCUGUCUGCAGCUGCUAACCUAAAGCUACGUAAACCCCGUCAGUUUUAGGUCAGUCUGACAAAGAUAAGAGUGACUUGCAAAACACCCAAUCACAGACUGACCUUGCAGCUUUACACAUUUUGAAGUGCAUGUAAUUUGUUUACUCUUGUUUUAACACAGAUCUCCAGGCUGCUGGAUGAAGUGUCCGUUAGCUGAAUGUUGCUUAUUAUAUGCUAAAAGGAUUGUGUAAUGCAAUACGCAAAUGUGUAACCAACUGGCUCUUCAGAGUGCGAAUGUGGUGAUAAGAUUUUGUAUACAAUAGCUGUUACUUUUCUCUCUGGUGUGCUGGCUUUACUCCAGCAUCCAGGCUUGCGCAACUCAUCAAGUCCAACCAUUAAUCGCUGCCCCAUGUCCUGAGAACCUCAUGUCCGUCUGUCCAGCCCUCCAGGGCUGGUGACUCCAGCACUGCCCUGGGCAGCCUGUUCCAAUGCCCCACAGCCCUUUGGGGAAGAAACUGUUCCCAGAUCCAACCUCAACCUCCCCUGGCGCAACUUGAGGCCGUUUCCUCUGCUCCUGGCGCUUGUUCCUGGGGAGCAGAGCCCGACCCCCCUGGCUCCAAGCUCCUUUCAGGCAGUUCAGAGAUCAGAAGGUCUCCCCUCAGCUCCUGUUCUACAGCCUACGGCAGAUUUGGAAAAAAAAUAAGAAAACCUGGUAGCCAUGCCUGCCCGCCCUCGCUUUCUGCAUCGAAAGGUGCUGAAAACGUCCCUUUUCCGUAACAGGGACUCCCGUGUUUCCCGGCGGGUGGUUCGCAACGGGGCGGCGGCCGGCAGGGGGCGCCAGAGAGCCGCGCGGCUCACGCAUGCGCAGUGCGUGCCCCGGCCUGGCGGCCGCGCUCCGCCGUCCGCGGGCCCUCACGGCCCCGGCGCGGCCUCCCAGGCCUCUCACCCGCCGCCGGGCCCUGCGCACCGGGAGCGGCGCUGCCGGCGGGGCGCGGACGCAGAAGCCGCCGGAGGCGGUGUGUCGCGCAUGCGCUCUGCGGCGGGCGGCGCGCUGGUGACGGUGCAACCGGAAGCGCUGCGUCGCACUUCCGGCUGAGGACGCGUCCGCCCGUCAGCGGGGCAGAGGCCGGAGCGGCCGUGAGUGAACGGGGCGAGAACGGGGGCACCGGGGCCCGGACCGUGGGGGCUCCGGCCUGCGGGGCCGGUCCAGUGCGGCCCAGGGGCGGCGGGGCCUGACCGGCGGCAGCUCUGGGCCAGGCCGCGACUUCGCGGUGCAUGUCCUCGUGUCACUGUGGAUUGUCCCUGUCCGUGGCCGCAGGGAGGGGCCUACAUGUCACUGAUGUCACCUCAGGCUCCAUCUACAGCUUCUUACAUUUUAUUUUGUCCAGGUAGCAGCAGCCUGUUCUCUGGUAUCAACAUGCCAGAAUUUUUGCAUCAGGUUUUGGAACAACUGAAGAAAAGGUCCAUGUGGUCACAGCUGCUGCCAAAACACGAAACAGAAUUUGUGGGUGUCUGUCACCUGUCGAAUGAAGGAGCUGGAACAGCCUGUCCACAGCCAACCUGACGAGCACGUGAGAUCUCCGCUACACCCCGAGCCUUUGGUUGGAGAUGCGCAUUCGGGUGUCUCUUCCCACGUGCAGAACAUGGCUCACCCCUUGGAGAAAACCAUUACUGCGGCACGCUGUGUUCUGCAAGUGAUGAUAUAUUCACCAGGAACACAAGAGUUCACACUGUGGAAACGGGCUUCAACAUCAACAUGCCCCUGAGCCGCCCCGUGGGCAUGACAUGUCAGUUCAUCCCUUUCUGCUGGGUAUUUUUCCUAGUUGCAUCCUGCCAUCCUCUGCUUAAAUUGCUCUCUCAGUGUCUUGGAAACGCUUCUGGUAAUGCUGUAGUUCAGCGAAAUGUUGCCUUGUCUCCUGCCGCUGCAGCAAGGGGAGGCAGCGCUGACACAAAGAAGUCGCCUCUUCAGCCCACCUCACCCACUUUGGAGAGUUUUCCUGUUAACGUACAGCGGGGGUGUUUGUAAAGAUGCGGCGCUACACACAGCGCACUGUUCUCCCCUUCUUUUAAACAGGAUUUAUUGAUGUCCUUCAGGCUGGGGUGGGGGGAGAAGGGAGGGCUGGCUGGAUAUUUCUCUUGCAGUUAAAUUCUCUGUGUUGGCUCUUAAAAGCGUUAAGUAAUGAGGGGAAAAAACAAAGCUUAAAGCUUAAGAGCCUAAAAUCAUCUGGGACAAUCACUUCCAUUCCAACGCCAUUAAACAGUUAAGGGUCGUUUUGCUGGAGUGAAAAUGUUGAACUAUUUUGACUGUACAAUUCAUGCUUUUUAAAUUAAACUAAGGAAUUCA
Long non-coding RNA from Columba livia (rock pigeon), 11323 nucleotides. RefSeq lists it as uncharacterized. The transcript is spliced from 9 exons. The record is from RefSeq and is a predicted model, not a curated record. NCBI's taxonomy places the organism in Eukaryota, Metazoa, Chordata, Aves, Columbiformes, Columbidae.